GCGUGGUAGUACUACCAGACUACUUGUCUCGAGUGGUUUCUCUGCUCGCUCGAUGCGUCGCGGGACAGGCACCGCGUGGUGGUUGCUCGUCGCAGCCGCCGCGCUCCUGGUCCUGGUUCUGCCGCUGCUCGCCUCCUGCGCGGCCUCCGCACGUCCUCCUCCAGUGCCGCCGCGAGGUGGCGGCGACGCCGGGCUGGGUGGAGGGAGGGAGCUAGCGGCCAUGGGAGCUGCGAGGCGGUUGGGGCAGAGGACGCCGGUGAACAAGCCUCCCUCACCCAACCCCCACCGCGCGUCGGCGACGGCCGUGCCGCCGCCACCGCCUGACUAGCUAGGACCAAGGUCAGGGGCGGGAGUAGUAAAUGCUUUGCUGAUACGUGUAUGCAAUGGUGCCUGCGAUCGCCUAGCUAGGCAACUAGCUAUGUUCUUCCUGGUCGGUAUCAGAGAAGAAACAACUAGCAGCUGUGCACAAUACUUGUUUUGCUUCCGAUAAAUCAUGGAACAGGAAACAUGUGGGGAUAUACACCAACUGAUAACCUUGAUAAAUUCGAU
Molecule: ribosomal RNA, 549 nt
Filed under: Triticum aestivum (bread wheat)
Lineage: Eukaryota; Viridiplantae; Streptophyta; Magnoliopsida; Poales; Poaceae
Description: partial small subunit ribosomal RNA
Source: RNAcentral